CCUAGGCGGCUGCAGUGGGGAAUAUUGCACAAUGGGCGAAAGCCUGAUGCAGCGACGCCGCGUGAGGGAUGACGGCCUUCGGGUUGUAAACCUCUUUCGCCAGGGACGAAGCGCAAGUGACGGUACCUGGAUAAGAAGCACCGGCUAACUACGUGCCAGCAGCCGCGGUAAUACGUAGGGUGCGAGCGUUGUCCGGAUUUAUUGGGCGUAAAGAGCUCGUAGGCGGUUUGUCGCGUCGGCCGUGAAAUCUCCACGCUUAACGUGGAGCGUGCGGUCGAUACGGGCAGACUUGAGUUCGGUAGGGGAGACUGGAAUUCCUGGUGUAGCGGUGAAAUGCGCAGAUAUCAGGAGGAACACCGGUGGCGAAGGCGGGUCUCUGGGCCGAUACUGACGCUGAGGAGCGAAAGCGUGGGGAGCGAACA
Molecule: ribosomal RNA, 422 nt
Filed under: uncultured Amycolatopsis sp.
Lineage: Bacteria; Bacillati; Actinomycetota; Actinomycetes; Pseudonocardiales; Pseudonocardiaceae
Description: bacterial SSU rRNA
Rfam family: Bacterial small subunit ribosomal RNA
Source: RNAcentral